GGGGGCGACCUGGCUUCGACGGGGGCAAUGACGUUCGAGACGCGUGCCGAGCUUGUUGGGUGCUCGUAAAACUUCCGACAACAUCACAAAAGCCAACGACAACGUUGAGCUCGCGCUGGCUGCCUAAUUAGCAGUCUCUAGUGCGCGGUCCCCCUGCUCUCGGUCCGUGGGGUGGGGAUGGGCCGUCAUAAUGCGGACUGGUCGCCAAGGGUGCCUGGGCCCGAGGUGACGAGAUCUUUCCAGGACCGGCAUCAGGUAUCCCGUCCGUGGGAGCCCUGGUGACGUAGCAAAUCGCGGACUACGCACGUAGGGUCGAAGAGCCGACGGCUUUCGGACGAGGGUUCGAUUCCCUCCGCCUCCACAG
This is a non-coding RNA of Corallococcus coralloides DSM 2259, 364 nucleotides long. It matches the Rfam family "transfer-messenger RNA". From Rfam's summary of the family: Bacterial tmRNA, also known as 10Sa RNA or SsrA, is named for its dual tRNA and mRNA-like properties. Its role is to liberate the mRNA from a stalled ribosome. To accomplish this part of the tmRNA is used as a reading frame that ends in a translation stop signal. Lineage: Bacteria; Pseudomonadati; Myxococcota; Myxococcia; Myxococcales; Myxococcaceae. The record is from Rfam.